Molecule: ribosomal RNA, 2216 nt
Filed under: human gut metagenome
Description: eukaryotic LSU rRNA
Rfam family: Eukaryotic large subunit ribosomal RNA
Source: RNAcentral
UUUUUAACAUGGCUAUAGAGUAUUUAAGUCAAAACCCGAAUGGAGGUGAACUAUUCCUGCAAAGAUUGAAGUCAGGGGAAACUCUGAUGGAAGAUCGUUGGCGUUAUUGAUGUGCAAAUCAUUUGCUUUAUGUAGGUAUAGGUGCGAAAGACUCAUCGAACCUCCUAAUAGCUGGUUUCCUCCGAAGUUUCCCUCAGGAUAGCUGUAACAUUUUUAAAUAGUUAAGGAUAGUAGAGAAAUGGGUAGAGGUGUAGUGGAACUACGGUUCUGCAACUUAUUUCCAAACUUCGAACGUUCUUGAUAUAAAAAAUUACCUAAUAGGAAUUUUUUAUUUAAAUAUAUGUUAUAAGUGGGCUCUGACCGGUAAGCGGUCAUGGCGAAAAGGGAUGAACCUAACGUAUAAAUAAGGUGCCUAAAUUUACUAACAAUGAAACCAUUAAAAGAGUCCAUGUAUUUAGACAGCGGGUCGGUGCCCCUAAAAGCAGGUAUCCGUUAAUGAGUGUGUUAAAACUCCCCCGCCGAAUACUCUGGCCUUGAAAAUGAAUGGCGCAUAUAGUAAUACCGAUAUUAUACAUUAAAAUUAUUUAAAAAUUUUAAAAGUAGGGGGAUGUGGAUAUCUUAGAGAAUUUUUAAUUGUAAAAUUGAAUUGAAAGAUAUCUAUUACAGAUCCUAAUUGAAGUAGCGAUUAUCCAGGUUAAUCUCCUGGGGGCUGAUGAGGAGUAGGGUUUCUGGGCAACUUAAACGGACCCAGAGUUAGUCGAUCCUAAUCAAAUUAAAUUUAGAGAAAGGGAAUAUGAAUGAUAUUUCAUAACUAAAAUUAAUUUUUAAAUGGUGACAUUUUUUUAAACUUAUUUCCAUCAAUUAAAUACUGUUUAAUAGGGAUUUCUUUCCUAUAUAACUUUUUAAUUAAAACUUAAGAAACAGGUUAACUGGAGAAUAAAGUUUUAAUUUAGUAAAAUUAUAAUUUCGAUUAUAAUAACGGCUAUUUAAAUGAUCCAUGAAACGAUAAGUUUAUUUUUUCAAAAAUUAAUUUAAUCGUACCGAUAACCGCAUCAGGUCUCCAAGGUGAGUAGCUUCUGGCCAUUGAGUAAUGGUAAUUUAGGGAAUUCGGCCAAUUAGAGCUGUAACUUCGGGAUAAAGCUUGGCUCUGAUGGAAAUCAGAACCGAUAGUUACAAGGAGAGCCCAACUGUUUAAUAAAAACUUAGUGUCGCGUCAUACCUUUAUAAGUAAUAAACGUGACAUGAAUCCUGCUCAGUGCUGUGUUUGUUAAACUGGAUUAAUCCAUUUAAGCGCCGGUAAAUAGCUGGGGUAACUAUGACUCUUAUCAAAGUAGCGAAAUACCUCGUCACUUAAUUAGUGACCUGCAUGAACGGAGCUAUGAGGUUCUCACUGUCCCAAAUUAUCACUCAGCGAACCAACAGUUGUGGGAACGGGCACAAAUUAUCCAGCGGGGAAAGAAGACCCUGUAGAGCUUCACUUUGGUCUAAUCUUGUAUAGUUUCGUUAGGGGUGCAGUCUAGGUGGGAGAUUUUUAAUCAAAUAUGAGAAACCACUACCCUUUCUGGAAUUAUACUUACUAAAAUUCUUUUAUAAAUUUUAGGAUCGGAUUAGAUAGAAAGUUUGGCUGGGGCGGCACACCUUCGAAAAAGCAGCGAAGGUGUCCUAAGUUAAGCUCAGUAAGGACAGAAAUCUUACGUUGAGGAUAAGGCCAAAAGCUUAAUUUACUGUGCCUUUUUGUACUAGGAUCAGUUUGGAAACAAAGGCCUAACGAUCCCUAAUUAGUCUUAGGUGUGUAAGACUUGGGGUGACAGACAAGUUACCUCCGGGACAACUGGCUUGUGGCUGCUAAGAGAUCAAAUCAACGCAGCUUUUUGAUUCUUCGAUGUCGGCUCUUCCUAUCCUAGUGAUGUACAAGUCACUAAGGGUUGGAUUGUUCACCCGUAUUAGGGAUCGUGAGCUGGGUUUAGACCGUCGUGAGCCAGGUUUGUUUUAUCCUACUGGAUAUAAUUUAGCAUCUUGAUAGUAGUUUGAUUUAGUACGAGAGGAACUGUUGAAUAUGGUCUCUGGUUUGGGAAUUUUAUGAAAAUAAAAGUUCCAAAGCUACGCCGUCUGAGAUAAUGGCUGAAGGCCUCUUAAGCCAGAAACUCAUCUAAAAAUAGAUGCUUUAAACUAUUUAAAAGAAUUAAAUUUAAAAUAUUUUUUUUAUUAAAAUUUGU